CAGUCGCCGCGGUAACACGAAGGGGGCUAGCGUUGUUCGGAAUUACUGGGCGUAAAGCGCACGUAGGCGGAUAUUUAAGUCAGGGGUGAAAUCCCGCAGCUCAACUGCGGAACUGCCUUUGAUACUGGGUAUCUUGAGUAUGGAAGAGGUUAGUGGAAUUGCGAGUGUAGAGGUGAAAUUCGUAGAUAUUCGCAGGAACACCAGUGGCGAAGGCGGCUAACUGGUCCAUAACUGACGCUGAGGUGCGAAAGCGUGGGGAGCAAACAGGAUUAGAUACCCCCGUAGUCCCUGUCUCUUAUAC
This 301-nucleotide ribosomal RNA is filed under the name uncultured bacterium. RNAcentral describes it as "partial 16S ribosomal RNA". It matches the Rfam family "Bacterial small subunit ribosomal RNA", at positions 509 to 807 of the family's 1533-position model. The record is from RNAcentral.